AAGGCUUCACCGCCCGAACCAACAUGUCAACCCUCCACCUCUGGGGAAAAAGAGGGAGAGAUCAGCCUUAGGCCGGUGACGGGCAAAUCUAAGGUUGAUACUAAUUUUGUUGAAAUGUCUCCUUCUUGGCAGCUGUACCAGAGCAGAUGGGAGAAACUCAACACAAGGAAAGGCAUUAACCCGGGAAAUUGCCAGGUUGAUGUCGGAGAAAAAUAUCCGCGGGUGUGGAUGACCACCGGCGCCCAUCCACAGGAUGUUAAGGAAUGGUAUGAGUUUGGAGCUCUGGCUUCAGUUUAUACCAUAUCUCCAGCAUUCACCGAAAUUAAG
RNAcentral lists this long non-coding RNA (327 nucleotides) under Salvia miltiorrhiza (redroot sage). Its description in RNAcentral is "long non-coding RNA (SMIL_LNC011954)". Lineage: Eukaryota; Viridiplantae; Streptophyta; Magnoliopsida; Lamiales; Lamiaceae. The record is from RNAcentral.